GUGAAUCAUCGAAUUUUUGAACGCACAUUGCACUCUCUGGUAUUCCGGAGAGUAUGCCUGUUUGAGGGUCAGUUUAAAUAACAACCGGUGUGUUUGCUUCCUUUCGUGGUGACUCACCGGAUUUGGGUCGUCUUGCCUGCGGUUAUGUUACCUUAAUUUUUGCAUGAUUUUUUGCGAACGUAUUUAAAUGAUUUUACUUCAAUUUAGGUAUU
This 212-nucleotide unclassified non-coding RNA is filed under the name Glomeraceae sp. RNAcentral's name for it is "partial contains 5.8S ribosomal RNA and internal transcribed spacer 2". The stretch from base 1 to 71 matches the Rfam family "5.8S ribosomal RNA", at positions 84 to 154 of the family's 154-position model. Lineage: Eukaryota; Fungi; Glomeromycota; Glomeromycetes; Glomerales; Glomeraceae. The record is from RNAcentral.